ACAGGGUUUAAUUAGAGUUUUACGUGGUAGUAGUACUUUUUUAUAAGUUACUGUAAUUACCUUUUAGCCCACUACUCAUAAUUUCUUUUUUCCUUUUAAUUCAUUUUUUUUUUCUUUUUGGUUUUUCCAAACAGUUUCCUUGAAACGACAAAAACUCAGAUUUGCAGCUUUGUCGAGUCGUUGAGCUCUCAAAUUCCUCCAUCCUCCCAAAAACCAAUUCAUAACUUCAGAUCCAAAGAGCACAGCGAGAGAGAGAGCUCACAUUCUGUCGAAAAAAGAACCCGUAAUUGAUAAACAAAAAAGACGUUUCAAGAAUCAAUUUUCAAGAUCUCACAGCAAUGCUCUCCACCGUCCGAUCCCUCUUUAUUUUCAUCAUCUCCUCUCUGUUCCUUGCAUACCCAUCUUUUGCCAAG
Molecule: long non-coding RNA, 413 nt
Filed under: Nicotiana tabacum (common tobacco)
Lineage: Eukaryota; Viridiplantae; Streptophyta; Magnoliopsida; Solanales; Solanaceae
Description: long non-coding RNA (NTAB_LNC004985)
Source: RNAcentral